AAACGUAGGGGGCGAGCGUUGUCCGGAAUUACUGGGCGUAAAGAGCUCGUAGGCGGUAGACCAAGUCAGCUGUGAAAGCCGACGGCUCAACCGCAGGAUUGCAGUUGAUACUGAUCUACUUGAGGCAAGGAGAGGAAGAUGGAAUUCCCAGUGUAGCGGUGAUAUGCGUAGAUAUUGGGAAGAACACCAGUGGCGAAGGCGGUCUUCUGGCCUUGACCUGACGCUGAGGAGCGAAAGCCAGGGUAGCGAACGGGAUUAGAUACCCCGGUAGUCCUGGCCGUAAACGAUGGACACUAGGUGUAGGUGGUUUCAAAGCCAUCUGUGCCGCAGCUAACGCAUUAAGUGUCCCGCCUGGGGAGUACGGUCGCAAGGCUGAA
RNAcentral lists this ribosomal RNA (377 nucleotides) under uncultured bacterium. RNAcentral describes it as "bacterial SSU rRNA". It matches the Rfam family "Bacterial small subunit ribosomal RNA", at positions 523 to 898 of the family's 1533-position model. The record is from RNAcentral.